GAAAUGCGAUAAGUAAUGUGAAUUGCAGAAUUCAGUGAAUCAUCGAAUCUUUGAACUCACAUUGCGCCCGCCAGUAUUCUGGCGGGCAUGCCUGUUCGAGCGUCAUUACAACCCUCAGGCCCCGGGCCUGGCGUUGGGGAUCGGCGGAAGCCCCCUGCGGGCACAACGCCGUCCCCCAAAUACAGUGGCGGUCCCGCCGCAGCUUCCAUUGCGUAGUAGCUAACACCUCGCAACUGGAGAGCGGCGCGGCCACGCCGUAAAACACCCAACUUCUGAAUGUUGACCUCGAAUCAGGUAGGAAUACCCGCUGAACUUAAGC
Molecule: unclassified non-coding RNA, 319 nt
Filed under: plant metagenome
Description: partial contains 5.8S ribosomal RNA, internal transcribed spacer 2, and large subunit ribosomal RNA
Rfam family: 5.8S ribosomal RNA (bases 1-105)
Source: RNAcentral